GGUGGUGCGCAGCAGGAGGGGUCCGCGUCCGAUUAGCUGGUUGGGGGGGUAACGGCCCACCAAGGCGACGAUCGGUACCUGGUCUGAGAGGAUGAUCAGGCAGACUGGGGCUGAGAACGGCCCAGACUCCUACGGGAGGCAGCAGUUAGGAAUUUUGGGCAAUGGGCGGAAGCCUGACCCAGCAACGCCGCGUGGGUGACGAAGGCCUUCGGGUCGUAAAGCCCUUUUCUGGGGGACGAUGAUGACGGUACCCCAGGAAGAAGCACCGGCUAACUACGUGCCAGCAGCCGCGGUAAUACGUAGGGUGCGAGCGUUGCCCGGAUUCAUUGGGCGUAAAGGGCGCGCAGGCGGCCCCGUGCGUCACGCGUGAAAUCUCCCGGCUCAACUGGGAGGGGUCGCGUGAUACGGCGGGGCUGGAGCGAGGCAGGGGACCGCGGAAUUCCCGGUGUAGUGGUGGAAUGCGUAGAGAUCGGGAGGAACACCAGUGGCGAAGGCGGCGGUCUGGGCCUGAGCUGACGCUGAGGCGCGAAAGCGUGGGGAGCGAUCCGGAUUAGAUACCCGGGUAGUCCACGCCGUAAACGAUGUGCACUAGGUGUCGGGGGUAUCGACCCCCUCGGCGCCGGAGCUAACGCAUUAAGUGCACCGCCUGGGGACUACGGCCGCAAGGCUAAAACUCAAAGGAAUUGACGGGGGCCCGCACAAGCAGCGGAGCGUGUGGUUUAAUUCGAUGCAACGCGC
Molecule: ribosomal RNA, 738 nt
Filed under: uncultured bacterium
Lineage: Bacteria
Description: bacterial SSU rRNA
Rfam family: Bacterial small subunit ribosomal RNA
Source: RNAcentral